GAUGAACGCUGGCGGCGUGCCUAAUACAUGCAAGUCGAGCGAACGGACGAGAAGCUUGCUUCUCUGAUGUUAGCUGCGGACGUGUGAGUAACACGUGGAUAACCUACCUAUAAGACUGGGAUAACUUCGGGAAACCGGAGCUAAUACCGGAUAAUAUUUUGAACCGCAUGGUUCCAAAGUGAAAGACGGUCUUGCUGUCACUUAUAUAUUGAUCCGCGCUGCAUUAGCUAGUUGGUAAGGUAAAGGCUUACCAAGGCAACGAUGCAUAGCCGACCUGAGAGGGUGAUCGGCCACACGGGAACUGAGACACGGACCAGACACCUACGGGAGGCAGCAGGAGGGAAUCUUCCGCAAUGGGCGAAAGCCUGACGGAGCAACGCCGCGUGAGUGAUGAAGGUCUUCGGAUCGUAAAACUCUGUUAGUAGGGAAGAACAUAUGUGUAAGUAACUGUGCACAUCUUGACGGUACCUAAUCAGAAAGCCACGGCUAACUACGUG
RNAcentral lists this ribosomal RNA (497 nucleotides) under uncultured bacterium. Its description in RNAcentral is "partial 16S ribosomal RNA". It matches the Rfam family "Bacterial small subunit ribosomal RNA", at positions 28 to 507 of the family's 1533-position model. The record is from RNAcentral.